GACGAACGCUGGCGGCGCGCCUAACACAUGCAAGUCGAACGGAGUCAAGAGGAGCUUGCUUUUCUUGACUUAGUGGCGAACGGGUGAGUAACGCGUGAGUAACCUGCCCUGGAGUGGGGGACAACAGUUGGAAACGACUGCUAAUACCGCAUAAGCCCACGGAUCCGCAUGGAUCUGCGGGAAAAGGAUUUAUUCGCUUCAGGAUGGACUCGCGUCCAAUUAGCUAGUUGGUGAGGUAACGGCCCACCAAGGCGACGAUUGGUAGCCGGACUGAGAGGUUUAGCGGCCACAUUGGGACUGAGACACGGCCCAGACUCCUACGGGAGGCAGCAGUGGGGGAUAUUGCACAAUGGGGGAAACCCUGAUGCAGCGACGCCGCGUGGAGGAAGAAGGUUUUCGGAUUGUAAACUCCUGUCGUUAGGGACGAUAAUGACGGUACCUAACAAGAAAGCACCGGCUAACUACGUG
RNAcentral lists this ribosomal RNA (468 nucleotides) under uncultured bacterium. RNAcentral's name for it is "partial 16S ribosomal RNA". It matches the Rfam family "Bacterial small subunit ribosomal RNA", at positions 28 to 507 of the family's 1533-position model. The record is from RNAcentral.